Molecule: long non-coding RNA, 1740 nt
Organism: Odontomachus brunneus
Lineage: Eukaryota; Metazoa; Arthropoda; Insecta; Hymenoptera; Formicidae
Exons: 2
Source: RefSeq, a predicted model, not a curated record
AGAGAGAGAGAGAGAGAGAGAGAGAGAGAGAGGGAAGAGAGGAAUAUUUAUUGCAACGUUCUCAAAGUGAUAUCAAAUUUGUUGGUUUAUUAUUUCCAUCCCAAAAUCUCAGAGUAUUAGUACGAUAAUGGACAAUGAAGAUAGACCUGUGCUUUGAUGAUAUGCUUUGAAAGCAAAGACCUAACACUAUGUGAUAAAAUUGCUAGUGCUUGGCUUGCGAAUGCACCGUGGCGUAAAAGAAAUGAUAACAGAGUGCACUAGGCAACUGAUGAUUUUCAAUCAAUGACGACGAAGAAGAAGUAAUCACCUCAGUAUUUUCAAAUAGAUAGCAAGGAAAAUGACGAGCAACACAAGUCUACUAAAUACCAUAAAAAAUCCAAGUUAAACCUUUCUUAUAAUUUACAUAACUUAUAAGUACAGUAUUAAAAAGUCCAUAAUUCUACUAUUAUAUGUGCUUUGUUAUACUAAUUAUUCACUAGGAAAUCAUUAAUAUUUUGGAGUUUAGAGAUUCAUUUAAGAGUAUUAUUUUCUCUAAGUCAUGAAAUAGACUGCUGUGAUUUCAGUGCAACGUACUUUAUUGAUAGUAAUUAUUUUUUGUAAUUAUUAUUUGUAAUUAUAUACGAAUUAUUUAAUUGAUAGUAAUUCUUUAUUGCUUUUUUAGAAAUAUUUUAAGGCUCUUGGUCCUUCGCUGCAAUUGGUCUUGUUUAAUGACGUCAGAGACGAGAAAACACAUGUCAAAAAAUACUUGCGUUAUUUAACGUUCAAAUUAAAAGAUACACUCAUAAAAAGGCUUUUGUGAUAAAUUUAGCAUACUUGUAAAAUUGUCUGCAAACUUUUCUGUUACUCCUACAAUCAUCGAUCUAAAUAGUCGCAAAAUUAACUUGACAUAAAACCUUUUUUUUGUAACCUCCCCAGACAUCAUGUCUAAAAUCGGGACAUAAGACGUCUAAAAGACUUCUUUAAGACGUCUUACAGUCGUUUUACAGUCGUUUUUAAGUAAAGCGUCUGAUAGACGUCUAAUGUCCCGAUUGUAGACAUUAUGUUGUCUGGGUCUUUUCUCACGAUUUUGGACAAUGUUAUUUUUAUGACUAUUUAUUGAUUGUCGAGUAAAGGAGAAAUGUUCGGACAAUUUCACAAGUAUACUGAAUCCAUCACAAAUGUCAUUGUGUGAGUAAAUCUUUUUGUUUAGUUCGGUUCUACAUUCGGUGUUUUAAGUCUUAAGACCGAAGUCUUAAACACCGAAUGUAGAACUGGACUUAAACGUUGCAAUUCUUUGUAUCUCGCUUUUGACGUCAUAAAAAAUCAAUUAUUUUACAGUUAAUUUAAACAUCAAACAGUUGUAGCGAAGAACGGAAGCCUUAUAAUAGUUACAAAUGUGACGAGACAAUACAAUUUAUGCAUUUGUUAUACGUUAACGAGGAAAAUUUACUUUAUGUGAUGUCACAUAUUUAAAAGUGUUAUUGUUAUAAGUUAGUAAAAUAUAUAGAGAUUAUUUUGAAGGUUGCUAGCCGCUGACAUUCUGACGACUGACCUGCUUCUCGACCUGCGUGUACGGCCGAAACUUAAUAAAAGCAUUUGCACGAUUACGUUCUCCUCCAGGACGUUACACAUGAUUAAUAUGAUUUUAGUUUAUUUAGUUAAUAUGUUAUUGUAGUUUGUGCUUUGUGACUGAAAUGUCCUUGUUGUUCCUAAGUAAACUUUCUGUACUUUUUUUUUUAUAAUAAAACAUUACUUGAUAUA